RNAcentral lists this ribosomal RNA (466 nucleotides) under uncultured bacterium. Its description in RNAcentral is "partial 16S ribosomal RNA". It matches the Rfam family "Bacterial small subunit ribosomal RNA", at positions 28 to 507 of the family's 1533-position model. The record is from RNAcentral.
GACGAACGCUGGCGGCGUGCUUAACACAUGCAAGUCGAACGGAAAGGCCCUGCUUGCAGGGUACUCGAGUGGCGAACGGGUGAGUAACACGUGGGUGAUCUGCCCUGCACUUCGGGAUAAGCCUGGGAAACUGGGUCUAAUACCGGACAGGAGCCAUUUUUAAUGUGAUGGUUGGAAAGUUUUUUUUGGUGUAGGAUGAGCUCGCGGCCUAUCAGCUUGUUGUUGGGGUAAUGGCCUACCAAGGCGGCGACGGGUAGCCGGCCUGUGAGGGUGGACGGCCACAAUGGGACUGAGAGACGGCCCAGACGCCUACGGGAGGCAGCAGUGGGGAAUAUUGCACAAUGGGCGCAAGCCUGAUGCAGCGACGCCGCGUGGGGGAUGACGGCCUUCGGGUUGUAAACGUCUUUCGCUAGGGACGAAGCUUUUUGUGACGGUACCUAGAUAAGAAGCACCGGCUAACUACGUG